UGAGAAGUGAGUUCUAGUCUUUUCCAUGGUUGACCAUCUGCUUGAUAUGCAGGAAAUCCCAGGUUCAAUUCCUGGCUUCUCCA
This 83-nucleotide transfer RNA is filed under the name Sphaerodactylus townsendi. Its description in RNAcentral is "tRNA-Ile". It matches the Rfam family "tRNA". Rfam says of the family: Transfer RNA (tRNA) molecules are approximately 80 nucleotides in length. Their secondary structure includes four short double-helical elements and three loops (D, anti-codon, and T loops). The record is from RNAcentral. Lineage: Eukaryota; Metazoa; Chordata; Lepidosauria; Squamata; Sphaerodactylidae.